Molecule: ribosomal RNA, 228 nt
Filed under: uncultured bacterium
Lineage: Bacteria
Description: partial 16S ribosomal RNA
Rfam family: Bacterial small subunit ribosomal RNA
Source: RNAcentral
UACGUAGGGACCAAGCGUUGUUCGGAUUCAUUGGGCGUAAAGGGCGCGUAGGCUGCGGGGCAAGUCGGGUGUGAAAUCUCAGAGCUCAACUCUGAAACUGCACUCGAUACUGCUUUGCUCGAGGACUGGAGAGGAGAUUGGAAAUUCACGGUGUAGCAGUGAAAUGCGUAGAUAUCGUGAGGAAGACCAGUGGCGAAGGCGGAUCUCUGGACAGUUCCUGACGGCUGA